AUUGAACGCUGGCGGCAGGCCUAACACAUGCAAGUCGAACGAGUGGCGGACGGGUGAGUAAUGUCUGGGAAACUGCCUGAUGGAGGGGGAUAACUACUGGAAACGGUAGCUAAUACCGCAUACCAUCGGAUGUGCCCAGAUGGGAGUAGCUAGUAGGUGGGGUAAAGGCUCCCCUAGGCGACGAUCCCUAGCUGGUCUGAGAGGAUGACCAGCCACACUGGAAAUGAGACACGGUCCAGACUACUACGGGAGGAAGCAGUGGAGAAUAUUGCACAAUGGGCGCAAGCCUGAUGCAGCCAUGCAGCGUGUAUGAAGAAGGCCGUCGGGUUGUAAAGUACUUUCAGCGGGGAAGCGUUACCAGCAGAAGAAGCACCGGCUAACUCCGGGCCAGCAGCCGCGGUAAUUC
This 406-nucleotide ribosomal RNA is filed under the name uncultured bacterium. Its description in RNAcentral is "partial 16S ribosomal RNA". It matches the Rfam family "Bacterial small subunit ribosomal RNA", at positions 30 to 526 of the family's 1533-position model. The record is from RNAcentral.